UCCCCUUUCCCAAUUUCUAUUCACGAUUCCUUCUCAUGAUGGGUCGUUCAAAAGGAUCACCCCAGACAUUUGAGUUACAAACCAGUACGACCAAUUUGAUUCCAGCUGCCUGUUCCCACUCCCAUCUGAGGAUGCUUCAAGCCUCACAUCUAAAAAUCUCACUGGUAGACACUAGGUUUCUAAUUUGCUCUAACCACUAACCUAUAUUUUUCUUAUUUCUGUAAAAGGACCUCUUAUUAAUUACCUAAUUGCUUACUAAACAGAGUCUAUAUGAUGGCUAAACACCACCUGCUACACAGUGAAGGACUUAAGUGGCUCUCAAAGUAACAUUAUAUUAUUAAAUGCUAAAAUACCUCAUAUGCAUACAGCCAUUCUACAAAAUAGAAUGGCAUUAGAUGUUUUAGCUGCUGUACAAGGUGGAACUUGAGCUGUCAUAAAAACGAAAUGCGGCGUAUACAUUCCAGAUGAACACAAAAAUAUUUUUGGAUUUCUAACUGCCGUGGAUAUUCGAAUUGGCACUUUAAACAAUCCCUCUCUUCCCUUUCGUGAUUGGUUAAACUCCUAGACUAGAGGAUUCUUGUCAACCACCAAGGGACUUUUAUUUGGGCUAAUCUUUCUAGUUAUUCUCAUUAUCUUUGGCUGUUUUCUCCCAUGUCUCUGUCUCUCUGCCUGGUGCCAAGACUCCAUCACUGCAGGAACUUCAAGCCAACAGACGAUCCUUUCUACUCAAGAAGGUUCAUCCACGUUGUCCGCCUUGGAUUCUGCUGCCUCCACCUUAACUCCCCUGUAUGUUCCCUGACCAAUAUUGACCCAUAAAGUAGUCUCCAUGCUCAACGUGUGGCUCGAAAUCACGACCCUGAGAUCAAGAGUCACAUGCUCCACCGACUGAGCCAACCAGGCCAGGCAAACAUUUCUAAGCAGAGAAAGAGAGAGCACGCAGACAAUGGGGAGAGACAGAGAAACAUAAGCAGGCUCCACACUCAGCGCAAAGCUCAACGUGGGGAUCAAUCCCAUGUCUCUGGGAUCACGACCUGAGCCAAAAUCAUGAGUCGGACCCUCAACCGACUGAGCCACCUGGGCACCCCUUGAGAGACUACUUUGGAAGCCAGAUCAUGGACGACCAAGUUCACUGCCUCAACUGCCCCAAACCAAAGUGCCCUUUGUGGCCACCUGUAGUCAGGUUCUGGGAAUACAGCGUCGAACCAAAGACACAAACACCUCUGUCGGCACGGAGCUUACUUUCUACCGGUGGGGACACAGGCAAUAAGCCAAGCAGAUAAGGAUAUUACGAGGUGGUAAGAGCUAAAGGGGAAACAUGGAGCAGAGACAUGGUGUAAAAUGUUUCCAGGAGAGGGGGAAGAGACGAAAUUUUAGUUAGAAUGUGCAGUAAAGACCUCCUGGUGAAUUGGUUUGGAGUAGAGGCCAGAAGAAAGUGAGAGGACAAGCCUUUACAGAUACCUUGGGGCAGGGCUCUCCAAACAGAAACAAUAGCUACGCAAUUUCUACCCCUGAGCACAGCACGUAGAUCAUGGGGGACAAAUGAAGAACCAUGUAAGCCACCCAUAUGUUGCUUCCAUGGCACAUAGCUUUGAUGAGUCGAUGAGCGCUUUCCCACAGUACCCAGAUGUGGCCUUGGAAUCCUCUCGAACACAGCUUGUAUUAACUUGCCAUUGCUGCCAUAACAAACCGCCACAAACUCAGUCACUCAACACGAAUUUCUUAUCUCCCGGUUCUGUAGGUCAGCAGUCUAGGUAAUAUGUCGCUCCGUGGAUCCGUUGUGUACAAUGUCACAGGGCUGACAGGGUGCCUGGAUGGCUCAGUCGGUUAAGCGUCUGA
Molecule: long non-coding RNA, 1836 nt
Organism: Leopardus geoffroyi (Geoffroy's cat)
Lineage: Eukaryota; Metazoa; Chordata; Mammalia; Carnivora; Felidae
Exons: 4
Source: RefSeq, a predicted model, not a curated record